CACCAGUUGUGUCGUUUCAACCUCUUUGCCUGCUUUCCACUUCCAACGGGCUCCAAAGUUCAUUUCUUGAAACCCAGGAGGGUACCCAAUCAGGACAAUUGUAUAUCAAUUUCCCCCAGUCCAUUCUACUACCUUCACGAUACGAGUCGCUACGAAGGAAAGAAAAAUAAAUAAAAAUGGAACCACGUGGAUGGAGGCAAAUUCCAGAAGUUCUCUGUUAGUAAAUCACGCGACUAUCAGACAGAGCAGAAACGGUAUCUAUGUGGGGUACCCCGCCAAGCCAGAGAGAAAGAGAGAGAGAGAGAUCAGAGGGGAACAGGAAAAAUUUACACCGGAGACACGUUCUGGAGCUUCUAAUGCUGUGCCCACGGGGGCCACAAAUUGAUACGGUAUUAUGCGAAUUUGUUCUACUUUCCAGCGAUUCCAGUGAGGCCUUAAUCCUUUGCCGUGUUAGGUUGGAUGCAACAUGCACCCAAUUAAAACCCGCAAGGACAAAACAAACGCCACAGGAAACGGUCAUAUUGGUAGUGUAUGCUGCGCUAGCUGCCUCGACGUUAUACACACACACAUAGCAGCUCGAACGGCGUUAGAAACACUUAUCGGGAAAGGCAGUACUUACUCUGACUCGACCUCCGCAACAGUGCACUUGUACUGCGCCGUUGAGAAGAGACAAAUGUCGGCAAAUUGCCGCACGG
This is a long non-coding RNA of Topomyia yanbarensis, 695 nucleotides long. RefSeq lists it as uncharacterized. The record is from RefSeq and is a predicted model, not a curated record. NCBI's taxonomy places the organism in Eukaryota, Metazoa, Arthropoda, Insecta, Diptera, Culicidae. The transcript is spliced from 3 exons.